Molecule: ribosomal RNA, 1700 nt
Filed under: Bursaphelenchus firmae
Lineage: Eukaryota; Metazoa; Nematoda; Chromadorea; Rhabditida; Aphelenchoididae
Description: SSU rRNA
Rfam family: Eukaryotic small subunit ribosomal RNA
Source: RNAcentral
UCUAAGUGGAGUAUUAUAUAGCGAAACUGCGAACGGCUCAUUACAACAGAUAUAAUUUACUAGUUCUUGUUUCUAUAUGGAUAACUGCGGUAAUUCUGGAGCCAAUACAUGCAUCAAGCCCUGGCCGUCCGGUUAGGGUGCAAUUAUUGGAGCAAAACCAGUCUCGUACUGUUUGCUAACUCAGGAUAAUUCUGCAUAUCGCAUGGUCUUGUACCGGCGAAGUUUCUUUCAAGUAUCUGCUUUAUCAACUAUCGUUGGUAGUUUAUUGGUCUACCAUGGUGUUGACGGGUAACGGAGAAUCAGGGUUUGACUCCGGAGAGGGAGCCUUAGAAACGGCUACCAUGUCUAAGGAUAGCAGCAGGCGCGAAAAUUACCCAAUAUCAAAACGAUGAGGUAGUGACGAGAAAUAACAAGAUCGUUCUCUUUGAGAUCGAUUAUUGGAAUGAGUACAAUCCAGAAAUUUUAACGAGUACCUACGAGAGGGCAAGUCUGGUGCCAGCAGCCGCGGUAAUUCCAGCUCUCGUAAUGUAUAGAAUUAUUGUUGCGAUUAAAAAGUUCGUAGUUGGAUUGCAACGCAGGUAUGGGUCCACCCUCUGGGUGCGUACUCAAUGCUUGCAUUUUGCAUGUUUUUGUGGCGUCGCUUCGGUGGCGUUCAUGAUGCAUGCAGGAUUACUUUGAACGGCUCAAGUGCUUAAAGCAAGUCUUAUGACUGAAUACCGGUGCAUGGAAUAAUGGAACAAGGUUGUGGCUGAGUUUUAUUGGUUUUGUCGGCUAAAACAAUGGUUAACAGGAACAGCCGGGGGCAUUCGUAUCGCUGCGCGAGAGGUGAAAUUCGUGGACCGUAGCGAGACGUCCUACAGCGAAGGCAUUUGCCAAGAGUGUUUUCAUUAAUCAAGAACGAAAGUCAGAGGUUCGAAGGCGAUUAGAUACCGCUCUAGUUCUGACCGUAAACGAUGCCAACUGUCGAUCCGCUUGUGGAUUUUAUUCAUGAGCGGGGAGAUUUCCGGAAACGAAAGUUUUUCGGUUUCGGGGGAAGUAUGGUUGCAAAGCUGAAACUUAAAGGAAUUGACGGAAGGGCACCACCAGGAGUGGAGCUUGCGGCUUAAUUUGACUCAACACGGGAAAUCUCACCCGGCCAGUACAUCGUAAGGAUUGACAGACUGACAGCUCUUUCAUGAUUCGGUGAAUGGUGGUGCAUGGCCGUUCUUAGUUCGUGGAUUGAUUUGUCUGGUUUAUUCCGAUAACGAACGAGACUUUAACUAUUAAAUAGUGCGCAUGUUGCUUCGGCUGCGUGUGAUCACUUCUUAAAGGAAUUUGUGGUUUUCAACCUCAAGAAAUUGAGCAAUAACAGGUCUGUGAUGCCCUUAGAUGUUCGGGGCCGCACGCGUGCUACAAUGGUGGUAACAGCGUGAUUGUCCUUUUCCGACAGGAAUUGGCAAACAGUUGAGAUAUUAUUAUGGCUGGAAUUGAGUGUUGAAAUUUUCUCUCAUGAACGAGGAAUUCCAAGUAAAUGUGAGUCAUUAACUUGCAUUGAUUACGUCCCUGCCCUUUGUACACACCGCCCGUCGCUGCCCGGGACUGAGUUACUUCGAGAAAACUAGGGAUCGCUGGAGUUCGAUGUUUCGGCAUUGUCUUUGGUGAGAACUAGUUUAAUCGCACUGGCUUGAACCGGGCAAAAGUCGUAACAAGGUAACCCGUAG